RNAcentral lists this ribosomal RNA (494 nucleotides) under uncultured bacterium. RNAcentral's name for it is "partial 16S ribosomal RNA". It matches the Rfam family "Bacterial small subunit ribosomal RNA", at positions 28 to 507 of the family's 1533-position model. The record is from RNAcentral.
GACGAACGCUGGCGGCGCGCUUAACACAUGCAAGUCGAACGGAAAGGCCUGCUUUCCCUUGUGGAUUGCGGGUACUCGAGUGGCGAACGGGUGAGUAACACGUGAGUGAUCUGCCCCCAACUUGGGUAUAAGCCUGGGAAACUGGGUCUAAUUCCCGAUAGGACUGCAGGGUGGUGCCUGUGGUGGAAAACGAUUUUCUAGUGGUUGGGGAUGAGCUCGCGGCCUAUCAGCUUGUUGGUGGGGUAAUGGCCUACCAAGGCGGCGACGGGUAGCCGGCCUGAGAGGGUGGACGGUCGAAUUGGGACUGGGAUACGGCCCAGACUACUACGGGAGGCAGCAGUGGGGAAUAUUGCACAAUGGGCGGAAGCCUGAUGCAGCGACGCCGUGUGGGGGAUGAUGGCCUUCGGGUUGUAAACUCCUUUCGACCGCGAGGAAGCCACCUGGUUGGAAGGGUGGUGACGGUAGUGGUAGAAGAAGCACCGGCUAACUACGUG